Long non-coding RNA from Rosa chinensis, 410 nucleotides. RefSeq lists it as uncharacterized. The transcript is spliced from 2 exons. The record is from RefSeq and is a predicted model, not a curated record. Lineage: Eukaryota; Viridiplantae; Streptophyta; Magnoliopsida; Rosales; Rosaceae.
UUUUUUUAAGGUCCUCAUACUUAUUAUACUUUGUUCCAUUUCCUGUUUUGCUAUUUUGACAGGGUAAAUCUACUAAUGGAGAUUCCGAAGCAAAUGCAUCUUGAUCCUUAGCUGCUAGCCACUAGUUACAAGGACGAGACAUUGAGGAAUGCAGUUGCAAAGUUUAAGGGGAAGAAAUGAAGACAAUAGGUUUGUCUUUGUUUAUUCAAUCAUGCUUAAGUGGAGAUUGUAGUUACUAACUUCAGUACGUAUUGGGCUUUUAGGUGGCAAUUAGUUUGCUUAGACAUGUUUGACAAAUGUAAUCUUUUAUUAUUUGUUUUAAGGUUAGUAUUUUCUCUCGUCCUAUUCUAAUGUCAUGGAUGAUGUUAUUUUAUCUAUGUAUUAAGACUAUGUAGUUUGCAUUCAAUCAA